This 540-nucleotide unclassified non-coding RNA is filed under the name Petasospora mycetangii. RNAcentral's name for it is "[Candida] mycetangii sequence contains ITS1, 5.8S rRNA gene, ITS2". The stretch from base 177 to 330 matches the Rfam family "5.8S ribosomal RNA". The record is from RNAcentral. Lineage: Eukaryota; Fungi; Ascomycota; Saccharomycetes; Phaffomycetales; Wickerhamomycetaceae.
CUUCUGUUGCCUGCGCUUUCACUAGCGCGGCGACUAAACCUUACACACAGUGCUUAGUUUUUUCUAACAUUGCUUUGGUUGGACUGCACAAGUCUGGCCAGAGGUUAUAAACACAAGAUUUUAUAUCUUUUCUUACAAAACCAUAGUCAAGAAGUUUUAUUAAAACAAAUCUUCAAAACUUUCAACAACGGAUCUCUUGGUUCUCGCAACGAUGAAGAACGCAGCGAAAUGCGAUACGUAAUGUGAAUUGCAGGUUUUCGUGAAUCAUCGAAUCUUUGAACGCAUAUUGCGCCCUCUGGUAUUCCGGAGGGCAUGCCUGUUUGAGCGUCAUUUCUCUCUCAAGCCCUCGGGUUUGGUAUUGAGUGAUACUCUCUUUCUGGGUUAACUUGAAAUACUGUGGCAAGAGCUGCUGUAGCAGAUCUUCUCUGAACUAACGUUUCUAGGUUCUACCAAUUCGUUAUGGGCAGUUGAGCUCUCUAUUAGCACAUAGGCUCGGCCUUUACAAUAUCUCCAUAAGUUUGACCUCAAAUCAGGUAGGAU